GUGGGUAUAGCUCAGUGGUGGAGUGCAUGCUUAGCAUGCACAAGAUCCUGGGUUCAAUUCCCAGAACCUCCG
This 72-nucleotide transfer RNA is filed under the name Camelus bactrianus (Bactrian camel). It matches the Rfam family "tRNA". Rfam says of the family: Transfer RNA (tRNA) molecules are approximately 80 nucleotides in length. Lineage: Eukaryota; Metazoa; Chordata; Mammalia; Artiodactyla; Camelidae. RNAcentral also lists the same sequence under 2 other names. The record is from Rfam by way of RNAcentral.